Cololabis saira (Pacific saury) is the source of this 155-nucleotide long non-coding RNA. RefSeq lists it as uncharacterized. The transcript has 3 exons. The record is from RefSeq and is a predicted model, not a curated record. NCBI's taxonomy places the organism in Eukaryota, Metazoa, Chordata, Actinopteri, Beloniformes, Belonidae.
GGGACGGCAAGGGCCAACAGGACAACAGGGAGACAUAGGAGCAGCAGGGCCAGCCGGACUUCCUGGACCCAUUGGGACUGACGGCAACAUGGGGGAACAAGGGAAGCAGGGAAAAGAUGGACCUAAGGGGGAUCGAGGAAUAACUGGUAUUCAAG